Molecule: long non-coding RNA, 1370 nt
Organism: Betta splendens (Siamese fighting fish)
Lineage: Eukaryota; Metazoa; Chordata; Actinopteri; Anabantiformes; Osphronemidae
Exons: 2
Source: RefSeq, a predicted model, not a curated record
UCAUCAUGAAUAACAUUUCAUUUGUUACAGCCUUUUAAGGGACCACGUAUAAGACCGUAAUAUUUUAGUUCUACCAGUAACACCCUAGGCGAAUCGGAUUUCCCUCUACCUUCAAAGUUCUUUCACCUUCUAUUUUUGCGUCGCAUUACCUUUCUUUAAAGGGCCCAUAUCAUGCAAAAUCCACUUUUUAGACAUUUUGGAGCGUCCCUAUGACUCUAUGGGUCACAUAUACACACACUGAGCACGGUAGAAAUGCAUUUCCUGCUUUUUUCACAUUUUGAAAACGUAAAUUUUCUCAUCCAAUGAAAACAGCCACGACCUACUCUGAGGCCGUUCCCCAGGUUUCGUCAUACUGGUUGAAAGUUCUCCUUGCAAAUCCUGAACCACCACCCCCACAAUGAUCCCGAACCAAAACUGGACUUCCGCCAUUUCCCCCCUCUCACUCACCGUGAACAGACCAACACGGCAGCGCCCAAGUCCUCCCAUAGAAGUAGUUCGGUUCUUAGGUGUUCUAACCAACACCAAAGUCUCUUCACUUUACCAAGGGAACAACAAGUGAGGAUUUGUGGGUCACUUUUAUUUUUAACGGACCGGUGCCAGAAACACUGCCUCAGCAUUUAUACGUAUGUGCAUUUCAAACGAGGGUGCGUACAAUGCUGGAUUUGUUUCACGGCUCCUGUUGGAAAAAAAGGACCUAUUCCUAAAGUCCGUCAUCCACUCACUGCAGAGGGCAAAUCCCAGUUGCCCACAUGCAAGGAGGCUGUGAAACAGAGAAAUCACUGCAGACUGUUGGUACACAGACAUCUGCUGCCCAGCUCAGGAGUGAAGGUAUGUAAGUUUGUAUGUACCAACAGUAAGAUAGGUAAUAGAAGAUUUUAAUUGGUAUAUACUGUUUAGAUUUUAUAUUUGAAUUGUAACAACUGUUUAUCUGUUGUUUUAGCACAGACAGGCCUGUCCUCUUGUUUGGUUUAAUUUUUUGUCUGGUAUUGUGUGUUCUUACAUUGGAGAAGGUUUUGUCCUACAUAAUAAUUAACAUUUCACUAAUCUACAAUUCUGAUUGCACUACCUUUUGUUUUGAUGAGGUGAUGGUGAGGACAGCCACAGCUUCCAUCUGGUAGAGGACUGCUUCCGCUCAGUCUUCCAAAUAGUGAUGAGAACAAGGAUCACCACAUCUCCCUGUUUACCCUACUUUCAUGCAUUUCGUCUGCAAGGCCCUGCAAAAGCUUCUCCUUCGUCCUCAAACCCCCAGACUUCUUAAUUAACUCAGUAACCUAUACAUUGCACAUUGGAGUGUGAAGGUAACAGUUUGUUCUAGCUUUGGAGUAGUGGUGUAUUUUUUUGGUUUACAAUAAAGUUGGCUUUAACUAUUA